This 497-nucleotide ribosomal RNA is filed under the name uncultured bacterium. RNAcentral's name for it is "partial 16S ribosomal RNA". It matches the Rfam family "Bacterial small subunit ribosomal RNA", at positions 28 to 507 of the family's 1533-position model. The record is from RNAcentral.
GAUGAACGCUGGCGGCGUGCCUAAUACAUGCCAGUCGAGCGAACAGACGAGGAGCUUGCUCCUCUGAUGUUAGCGGCGGACGGGUGAGUAACACGUGUAUAACCUACCUAUAAUACUGGGAUAACUUCGGGAAACCGGAUCUAAUACCGGAUAACAUGUUGAACCGCAUUGUUCAACAGUGAAAGACGGUCUUGCUGUCACUUAUAGAUGGAUCCGCGCCGCAUUAGCUAGUUGGUAAGUUAACGGCUUACCAAGGCAACGAUGCGUAGCCGACCGGAGAGGGUGAUAGGCGACAUGGGAACUGAGCCACGGUCCAGACUCCUAAGGGAGGCAGCAGUAGGGAAUCUUACGCAAUGGGCGAAAGCAUGACGGAGCAACGCCGAGCGAGUGACGAAGGUCUUCGGAUCGUAAAAACCUGUUACUAGGGAAGAACAAAUGUGUAAGUAACUAUGCACGUCUUGACGGUACUUAAUCAGAAAGCAACGGCUAACUACGUG